This 227-nucleotide unclassified non-coding RNA is filed under the name rhizosphere metagenome. Its description in RNAcentral is "partial ribosomal RNA internal transcribed spacer region". The record is from RNAcentral.
GUAGGUGAACCUGCGGAAGGAUCAUUAUUGAAAUAAACCUGAUGGGUUGUUGCUGGCUCUUUAGGGAGCAUGUGCACACCUUGUCAUCUUUAUAUCUCCACCUGUGCACCUUUUGUAGACCCCUCCAGGUCUAUGUCGCUUCAUUUACCCCCAAUGUAUGUUGAUAGAAUGUCAUGGAAAAUAUAUAUAUAUAUAUACAACUUUCAGCAACGGAUCUCUUGGCUCUC